This 467-nucleotide ribosomal RNA is filed under the name uncultured bacterium. RNAcentral describes it as "partial 16S ribosomal RNA". It matches the Rfam family "Bacterial small subunit ribosomal RNA", at positions 29 to 507 of the family's 1533-position model. The record is from RNAcentral.
ACGAACGCUGGCGGCGUGCUUAACACCUGCAAGUCGCACGGAAAGGCCCUGCUUUUGUGGGGUGCUCGAGUGGCGAACGGGUGAGUAACACGUGAGUAACCUGCCCUUGACUUUGGGAUAACUUCAGGAAACUGGGGCUAAUACCGGAUAGGAGCUCCUGCUGCAUGGUGGGGGUUGGAAAGGUUCGGCGGUUGGGGAUGGACUCGCGGCUUAUCAGCUUGUUGGUGGGGUAGUGGCUUACCAAGGCUUUGACGGGUAGCCGGCCUGAGAGGGUGACCGGCCACAUUGGGACUGAGAUACGGCCCAGACUCCUACGGGAGGCAGCAGUGGGGAAUAUUGCACAAUGGGCGGAAGCCUGAUGCAGCAACGCCGCGUGCGGGAUGACGGCCUUCGGGUUGUAAACCGCUUUCGCCUGUGACGAAGCGUGAGUGACGGUAAUGGGUAAAGAAGCACCGGCUAACUACGUG